AACGCGAAGAACCUUACCCAGGCUUGACAUGCAAGUGGUACUGAGCCGAAGCAGGACCGCAAGGAGCUUGCACAGGUGUUGCACGGCUGUCGUCAGCUCGUGUCGUGAGAUGUUGGGUUAAGUCCCGCAACGAGCGCAACCCUCGGGGUCUGUUGUAUCUCUCAGACCCGACUGCCGAGAGAAACUCGGAGGAAGGUGGGGAUGACGUCAAGUCAGCGUGGCCCUUACGCCUGGGGCUACACGCACGCUACAAUGGCUGGUCACAGCGAGUCGCGACGUCGCGAGACGAAGCUAAUCUCUUAAAACCAGCCUCAGUUCAGAUCGGAGGCUGCAACUCGCCUCCGUGAAGUCGGAGUUGCUAGUAACCGCAGGUCAGCACACUGCGGUGAAUAUGUUCCCGGGCCUUGUACACACCGUAGUAC
RNAcentral lists this ribosomal RNA (422 nucleotides) under uncultured bacterium. Its description in RNAcentral is "bacterial SSU rRNA". It matches the Rfam family "Bacterial small subunit ribosomal RNA", at positions 958 to 1398 of the family's 1533-position model. The record is from RNAcentral.